GACGAACGCUGGCGGCGUGCCUAAUACAUGCAAGUAGAACGCUGAAGGAGGAGCUUGCUUCUCUGGAUGAGUUGCGAACGGGUGAGUAACGCGUAGGUAACCUGCCUGGUAGCGGGGGAUAACUAUUGGAAACGAUAGCUAAUACCGCAUAAUAGUAGAUGUUGCAUGACAUUUGCUUAAAAGGUGCAAUUGCAUCACUACCAGAUGGACCUGCGUUGUAUUAGCUAGUUGGUGGGGUAACGGCUCACCAAGGCGACGAUACAUAGCCGACCUGAGAGGGUGAUCGGCCACACUGGGACUGAGACACGGCCCAGACUCCUACGGGAGGCAGCAGUAGGGAAUCUUCGGCAAUGGACGGAAGUCUGACCGAGCAACGCCGCGUGAGUGAAGAAGGUUUUCGGAUCGUAAAGCUCUGCUGUAAGAGAAGAACGAGUGUGAGAGUGGAAAGUUCACACUGUGACGGUAUCUUACCAGAAAGGGACGGCUAACUACGUG
RNAcentral lists this ribosomal RNA (495 nucleotides) under uncultured bacterium. RNAcentral's name for it is "partial 16S ribosomal RNA". It matches the Rfam family "Bacterial small subunit ribosomal RNA", at positions 28 to 507 of the family's 1533-position model. The record is from RNAcentral.